This 451-nucleotide ribosomal RNA is filed under the name uncultured bacterium. RNAcentral describes it as "bacterial SSU rRNA". It matches the Rfam family "Bacterial small subunit ribosomal RNA", at positions 493 to 943 of the family's 1533-position model. The record is from RNAcentral.
CCGGCUAACUCUGUGCCAGCAGCCGCGGUAAUACAGAGGGUGCGAGCGUUAAUCGGAUUUACUGGGCGUAAAGCGUGCGUAGGCGGCUUUUUAAGUCGGAUGUGAAAUCCCCGAGCUUAACUUGGGAAUUGCAUUCGAUACUGGGAAGCUAGAGUAUGGGAGAGGAUGGUAGAAUUCCAGGUGUAGCGGUGAAAUGCGUAGAGAUCUGGAGGAAUACCGAUGGCGAAGGCAGCCAUCUGGCCUAAUACUGACGCUGAGGUACGAAAGCAUGGGGAGCAAACAGGAUUAGAUACCCUGAUAGUCCAUGCCGUAAACGAUGUCUACUAGCCGUCGGGGCCUUUGAGGCUUUAGUGGCGCAGAUAACGCGAUAAGUAGACCGCCUGGGGAAUACGGUCGCGAGACUUAAAGUCAAAUGAAUUGACGGGGGCCCGCACAAGCGGUGGAACAUGUG